This 450-nucleotide ribosomal RNA is filed under the name uncultured bacterium. RNAcentral's name for it is "partial 16S ribosomal RNA". It matches the Rfam family "Bacterial small subunit ribosomal RNA", at positions 354 to 796 of the family's 1533-position model. The record is from RNAcentral.
GUGGGGAAUUUUGGACAAUGGGCGCAAGCCUGAUCCAGCCAUGCCGCGUGCAGGAUGAAGGCCUUCGGGUUGUAAACUGCUUUUGUACGGAACGAAACGGCUCUUUCUAAUAAAGAGGGCUAAUGACGGUACCGUAAGAAUAAGCACCGGCUAACUACGUGCCAGCAGCCGCGGUAAUACGUAGGGUGCGAGCGUUAAUCGGAAUUACUGGGCGUAAAGCGUGCGCAGGCGGUGAUGUAAGACAGAUGUGAAAUCCCCGGGCUCAACCUGGGAACUGCAUUUGUGACUGCAUCGCUGGAGUGCGGCAGAGGGGGAUGGAAUUCCGCGUGUAGCAGUGAAAUGCGUAGAUAUGCGGAGGAACACCGAUGGCGAAGGCAAUCCCCUGGGCCUGCACUGACGCUCAUGCACGAAAGCGUGGGGAGCAAACAGGAUUAGAUACCCCUGUAGUCC